RNAcentral lists this ribosomal RNA (395 nucleotides) under uncultured bacterium. Its description in RNAcentral is "partial 16S ribosomal RNA". It matches the Rfam family "Bacterial small subunit ribosomal RNA", at positions 523 to 918 of the family's 1533-position model. The record is from RNAcentral.
AUACGUAGGGGGCGAGCGUUGUCCGGAAUGAUUGGGCGUAAAGGGCGCGUAGGCGGCCCGGUAAGUCUGGAGUGAAAGUCCUGUUUUUAAGAUGGGAAUUGCUUUGGAUACUGUCGGGCUUGAGUGCAGGAGAGGUAAGUGGAAUUCCCAGUGUAGCGGUGAAAUGCGUAGAGAUUGGGAGGAACACCAGUGGCGAAGGCGACUUACUGGACUGUAACUGACGCUGAGGCGCGAAAGUGUGGGGAGCAAACAGGAUUAGAUACCCUGGUAGUCCACACUGUAAACGAUGAAUGCUAGGUGUCGGGCUAGCAAUAGUUCGGUGCCGCAGUUAACGCAAUAAGUGCUCCGCCUGGGGAGUACGCACGCAAGUGUGAAACUUAAAGGAAUUGACGGGG